RNAcentral lists this unclassified non-coding RNA (18 nucleotides) under Mus musculus (house mouse). RNAcentral's name for it is "oocyte_clustered_small_RNA4477". Lineage: Eukaryota; Metazoa; Chordata; Mammalia; Rodentia; Muridae. The record is from RNAcentral.
UAGUUAGCGGGCCUCCAA